This 944-nucleotide long non-coding RNA is filed under the name Nicotiana benthamiana. RNAcentral's name for it is "long non-coding RNA (NBEN_LNC017663)". The record is from RNAcentral. Lineage: Eukaryota; Viridiplantae; Streptophyta; Magnoliopsida; Solanales; Solanaceae.
CAUGAAUAGGUCAAAAAUGAACAUAGACAUAUAGAAUCAAUAGAAAAGUCAAACCAAGAGCUUCAAUAGAGGCACACUAUGAUCAAAAGACAUCGAAUUAGGCUGAGAAGAAUCACAAAAACCAAAGCAUAGGACAAAGUCAAUACCCAAGUAACCUAGACUAACUCAGAAUCCAAACAAUAAUGUCGAAAAACUAGGCUUUUAGCAUAAACAUGGUCGGGUUAAAGCGAUCUUCAUGAAAUCGGUUAAAACAUACAAGAAACAGAAGAUUACACACUAAAAAUCACCAAACAUUUUGGAGAAUUUUUUUGGGGAAACCCUAGUUUGAAAACAUGGAGAUUCAAACAAACAAGAAGUCAUCGAAGUCGAAUAACCUGAAGUACUAUAGUGUUGAAAAUUGGUCAGUCGUAGAGGAAUAAGAGAAACUUAAAGAAAAAUCACAGAAACUUGAAAACCUUUCAAGUAUGCUGAGAUUUAAGCAGUAAAUAGUAAAGAACCCAAAAUAUAGUGCUAAAAUUGGUUAACAGUAAAGAAACAAGAAAUCUUUAAAAAAAAGUCCUUGACAAACUCAGAAUCCUUCCAGAUCUACAAAGAUAGAGAAGGAUUCGUGUCCAAAGGUUAAGGUUUUGAGGAGAGAGGGGAAGGGGUAAAGAGAACCUGGUUUUGAACCAUGAAACUUCAAUAGAAACUACUCACAUACCAUGGACGAGCUCUUGAAGAGCCUUGAACGAGAUCUGGACCAGAUCUCUUCAAGGUUCUUCCACAAAAAUCACAUAAAUCGAAUAAUCAGGGAGAUAUGAGAUAAGUAGAGGCUUCAUACAACCACAAGGUGCCAUAGAUCGGACAUGGAUUCAAAGGAUUUGGGCUAAUUUUGGGUGAAGGCGAUUAGGGUUUAGGGGUUGGUUUCAGAGAGAACCAGAGAGGAGGGGAUCCAAGGGCGGCUC